Molecule: ribosomal RNA, 125 nt
Filed under: Calocybe aurantiaca
Lineage: Eukaryota; Fungi; Basidiomycota; Agaricomycetes; Agaricales; Lyophyllaceae
Description: 5.8S ribosomal RNA
Rfam family: 5.8S ribosomal RNA
About the family: 5.8S ribosomal RNA (5.8S rRNA) is a component of the large subunit of the eukaryotic ribosome. It is transcribed by RNA polymerase I as part of the 45S precursor that also contains 18S and 28S rRNA.
Source: RNAcentral
CGCAUCGAUGAAGAACGCAGCGAAAUGCGAUAAGUAAUGUGAAUUGCAGAAUUCAGUGAAUCAUCGAAUCUUUGAACGCACCUUGCGCCCCUUGGUAUUCCGAGGAGCAUGCCUGUUUGAGUGUC